RNAcentral lists this long non-coding RNA (279 nucleotides) under Eucalyptus grandis. RNAcentral describes it as "long non-coding RNA (EGRA_LNC005469)". The record is from RNAcentral. Lineage: Eukaryota; Viridiplantae; Streptophyta; Magnoliopsida; Myrtales; Myrtaceae.
GCGAAGCCCAGCCAAUCAAAAGCAAAUCUCAGAUUUGGGUUGAGAUUUGUUGGGCCCGUUCUAGGCUCGGUCUGAGUGUUCGUCGACGUCGCCGAAAACCCGAUUUUCGGCCACCUUUGCGCAGUCGUCGCGGUGAUCCAGUCUUCGCAAAUCAAGUGAGUUUUACUCACUAAUGCUUUCUUAGUUUGCUAAUUAUUCUUAAGGGUUGAUUAGAUUUAAUUAAGUGCAAUUAUGUGGUUAUAUUAGAGUAGAUUAGUGAUUAUUAGAUCAUUGUGAUGC